This 275-nucleotide non-coding RNA is filed under the name Paraburkholderia caribensis. Lineage: Bacteria; Pseudomonadati; Pseudomonadota; Betaproteobacteria; Burkholderiales; Burkholderiaceae. The record is from RNAcentral.
UAUCGUAUCGGCGCAUCUGGUGCCCCGCGCUGGCUCGAAGGCCGGCGGGGUUAAACGGGAAACAGGGAAGCGCCUUCACAUCGCGGCCGCAACACGGGCGAACCACGCGAAACAUGAAGCCGCCAAGCCUGUGCUGUCCCCGCAACGGUCACGCGGCGAGCGGAAUGAAGCAUGUUUCGCGCAGUGCGUUCAAGGCCACUGCCUGCCAUCCGCAGGUGGGAAGGCGAACGCGAUGAGCCGCCAGCCCGGAUACCGGCCAGUUGCAAGGGGGCGAG